This 1965-nucleotide long non-coding RNA is filed under the name Marmota monax (woodchuck). The record is from RNAcentral. Lineage: Eukaryota; Metazoa; Chordata; Mammalia; Rodentia; Sciuridae.
AUUAGAUUCUCAGCACCACUUAUAAAUAAAUAAAGUUCUAUCAACAACUUAAAAAAUAUUAAGGGGCUGAGAUUGUGGCUCAGCGGUAGAGUGCUCGCCUAGCAGUGGUGGGGCCCGGGUUCAAUCCUCAGCACCAAUAAAAAUAAUGUGUUAUGUCCACCUACACCUAAAAAAAUAAAUGUUUUUUAAAAGGAAUUUAUUUUAAAAAAGAAGAAAUUCUGACACAUGUGACAGCACUGAUGAACCUUGAAGACAUUAUACCAAGGGAAAUAAGCUAGCCACAAAAACAAAUGCUUAUGAUCCCACUUAUAUGAGGUAUUGAGAGUGGUCAAAUUCACAUAAAGAGGAAGUAUAAUGAUGGUUUCCAGGACCUGGGAUGGGGAGGAAGUGGUGAAGGCGCUCCCCCUCCCACUGUCUUGACAGGGUCACAGUGAGGAUGAAUGCUGGCAAAGCCACUCUCCCACUGUCUUGACAAGGUCACAGUGAGGAUGAAUGCUGGCAAACCGAAAUCAUGAGACCCUUUUUUAUGUAAUUGGGACUUUUCAUUUUCAUGCUCAUGUUCCUGACAGGAGGCAUGAGUAUGUUAAAUGCUAAACCAAAUUAAAUUUCAGAUGGCUAGAACAUAACAGGUAGUUCAUGACUUGAAGGCUGUUCUACUACCCCUCAAUAUGACAAGGACAAAAUAGAAGGCUGCUCCUCUAUCUCAGUACACUGAGGACAAAACUGAUAAUGGACAACAAUCAUUCUCUGAAAGGUCACGAGAAUUUUAAGCACCACAUUGAUUAUAUCAACUAAGAAUCCAAGCCCAUAUUUCCGGCCUCUUAGAAAGCCUAAUCAUUAGGCUUAUUGCACAAAACCCACCAUAUGUAGUUUUAUUUUUGAUUAAGGAAAAGUUAUGUUAUACACUUAGGAAAGUUAAGGCAUAUGAAGGUAUAUUCUCCUCUUUUCUAUAAAUCCUCUUUUACUUCACAUAGGGACUUAUGAUGAGCAUAGUUAAUGUUGGCGGUAAAUGGACUGAUGUUUAGAACUUGCCUUUUACUGAGAGAGAUUACAAAGAUAUAAGAACAAGUGCACCUUGGGGCUGGGAUUGUGGCUCAGCGGUAGAGCGCUUGCCUAGCAUGGGAGGGACCCAGGUUUGAUCCUCAGCACCACACAAAAAUAAAAGCAUUAUGUUGUGUCCAUCUACACCUAAAAAAUAAAUAUUUUAAAAAAAGAACUAGUGCACCUUGACUAAGAAACAAAAAAAACUCUUUGAGAAAGCAGUUCAACCAGUUUUAUGAGAAUAAAUGUAGGAAUUAAUUAAAGCAACUUUGUAAGACAUAUUUUUAGAAUAAUGAUAGAAAUAUUAUUUUGUUUAGAUUCUUGGGUUUAGAAUUCUUAAGUUUUUAGCUGUAUGGCUUUCUGAUAUGCUUUAAGAAUGGUUUAUAGAAUUUAAGAAUGGUUUGUAGACUUUAGGAUAUUUUAAGUAUAAGAUUUAAGGGGAUUUCUUUAGAUGGGAAUUUUAGAUUAAGAAUAAGGUGCAAGUAUACUUUAAACUUAAAGGUUAAUGAUAGGUGAGGAGACUUAGAGUCUGGUUAUGUAGUUUGGCAUUAGCUAAUAAGAAAAUAGCAUAUCUUGGGAAAAAUAGUACAUCUUCGGAAAAAUCUGAAAAUGUAAAUUAGUGAUGCAUUUUAUUAACGAUUCUGUACACUUAAUAAAUGAUAACUAAAUGCCACAUCCUGGAAAAAUGUAAAUUGAUGUUACAUUUUUCUAUAUCCCUAGUGAUGGUUAAGAAAAUGUCACAUCUUGGCAAAGUUUUUGAAAUUGUAUAAUCAAUGAUGUAUUCUGAAUCCAUAAUGAUGAGAAAAAUUGCAAUAAAAGAUGACCCAGAGAAAGCUGUAUUAGAUUUCUCUCUCUGGAGAUUGCUCCAGUGGAACAACCCCUGUUUCCUCCUUUUCAUUGAUGCCACUCAUCCUUCAGGACUCC